RNAcentral lists this ribosomal RNA (200 nucleotides) under uncultured bacterium. RNAcentral describes it as "partial 16S ribosomal RNA". It matches the Rfam family "Bacterial small subunit ribosomal RNA", at positions 8 to 206 of the family's 1533-position model. The record is from RNAcentral.
AGAGUUUGAUCCUGGCUCAGAGCGAACGCUGGCGGCGUGCUUAACACAUGCAAGUCGAACGUGAAAUGUAGCAAUACAGAGUAAAGUGGCGUACGGGUGAGUAACACGUGGGUAAUCUACCAAAGAGUCUGGAAUAACCGGCCGAAAGGCUGGCUAAUACUAGAUAGUUCAAGCGUAUUGUAAGGAUACGAUUGGGAAAG